AGAGUUGAUCAUGGCUCAGGAUGAACGCUAGCGACAGGCUUAACACAUGCAAGUCGAGGGGCAGCAUAAAGUAGCAAUAUUUGGUGGCGACCGGCGCACGGGUGAGUAACGCGUAUGCAACCUACCUAUCAGAGGGGAAUAACCCGGCGAAAGUCGGACUAAUACCGCAUAAAACAGGGGCACCGCAUGGUGAUAUUUGUUAAAGAAAUUCGCUGAUAGAUGGGCAUGCGUUCCAUUAGGUAGUUGGUGAGGUAACGGCUCACCAAGCCGACGAUGGAUAGGGGAACUGAGAGGUUGGUCCCCCACACUGGUACUGAGACACGGACCAGACUCCUACGGGAGGCAGCAGUGAGGAAUAUUGGCCAAUGGGCGGGAGCCUGAACCAGCCAAGUCGCGUGAAGGAAAAGAAGGAUCUAUGGUUCGUAAACUUCUUUUGCAGGGGAAUAAAGUGCAGGACGUGUCCUGUUUUGUAUGUACCCUGAGAAUAAGGAUCGGCUAACUCCGUGCCAGCAGCUGC
This 517-nucleotide ribosomal RNA is filed under the name uncultured bacterium. RNAcentral's name for it is "bacterial SSU rRNA". It matches the Rfam family "Bacterial small subunit ribosomal RNA", at positions 8 to 518 of the family's 1533-position model. The record is from RNAcentral.